This 205-nucleotide ribosomal RNA is filed under the name uncultured Rhodocyclaceae bacterium. Its description in RNAcentral is "partial 16S ribosomal RNA". It matches the Rfam family "Bacterial small subunit ribosomal RNA", at positions 1180 to 1382 of the family's 1533-position model. Lineage: Bacteria; Pseudomonadati; Pseudomonadota; Betaproteobacteria; Rhodocyclales; Rhodocyclaceae. The record is from RNAcentral.
UGACGUCAAGUCCUCAUGGCCCGUUAUGGGUAGGGCUUCACACGUCAUACAAUGGUCGGUAACAGAGGGUUGCCAACCCGCGAGGGGGAGCUAAUCCCACAAAGCCGAUCGUAGUCCGGAUCGCAGUCUGCAACUCGACUGCGUGAAGUCGGAAUCGCUAGUAAUCGUGGAUCAGCAUGUCACGGUGAAUACGUUCCCGGGUCUU